ACCUGCCAUCUCAUACAUGAGCCUCAAGAUUAAUCAGGGAUUAAUGUCUUAUAUAGAUCUAUACCCAUCCAUAAUCCAACAGUUUUUUUUUCUUCUGUUGCGGGCUAUUUUGCUAGUUAAAGGAAAAAGCAACUGGACGGGUAGAUCACGCCGGGCGUGCAUGGGCAUGCCUGGAUGCUUCCGGUUGAAACAAGCAUGCCUGCCGACAUGGGAAUGAUGAAAAGACGGAAAGCUUAAUAGCUGCUGGUGGCACGCGUCGCCUUACUUGAUUCUCCUUGGACGGGGGGUACUUAACCGACGAUACUUCCAGCGCAAACCAUUCUCCCGGAUUGAUUCCUUGGCUUUCCCCGCCCCUCCCCUCCCCUCCCUUCCAUAAUCCCUCCAUUUAACCCCCUCCGUUUGCUUCGCUCUGCCUGCCUCAUCCUCGUGCUUAAGCUUCUCGCCAUCAGCUGGGAGAGAUAUCUUGAGCAGAGCAGCAGGAGGAGCCACAGCUUCAGCCUUCAGGUCGCGCGUCAGAGCACCAGCAGCCGGCAAGAUGCAGAUGGUACUGAUAAUCUCGCUGCCCCUCGUGGCGCUGGUGGUGAUCAUCGCCAUCAUCCUUUGCAUCGUCUGCCGUUAACCAGCCAGCCAGCUCGCCUCGCCGGAUGUUGCGUAUCAUGUAGCCUCGUAGUAGUAGUGUUGUUGCUGCGUCUGUCUCAUACUGUCAUCGUGUAUUUUGUCUGCAGCUCUUGCUCGGUGUGAUCGCUAUCCCCUUUUCUCCUACUAGCUUCUCGACAUGAAAUGUACUAUUGAGUAUUGAUUGAUCCAUGUGUCUGUUCGUGUGUGUGCGGGUGUCAGUACAGUGCAUACUGCCGUGUAAUGUAAGCUCUUGACUUUGUCGCAAAAAAAGGAAGCUCCUGAAGAAUUCUUCAGAUA
This is a long non-coding RNA of Triticum aestivum (bread wheat), 915 nucleotides long. RefSeq lists it as uncharacterized. The record is from RefSeq and is a predicted model, not a curated record. NCBI's taxonomy places the organism in Eukaryota, Viridiplantae, Streptophyta, Magnoliopsida, Poales, Poaceae. The transcript has 2 exons.